This 30-nucleotide non-coding RNA is filed under the name Mus musculus (house mouse). The record is from RNAcentral. Lineage: Eukaryota; Metazoa; Chordata; Mammalia; Rodentia; Muridae.
CCUUCAGACCAGCCAAGAUUAUAACAAGGC